CCAGACUCCUACGGGAGGCAGCAGUGAGGAAUAUUGGUCAAUGGGCGGGAGCCUGAACCAGCCAAGUCGCGUGAGGGACGACGGUCCUAUGGAUUGUAAACCUCUUUUGUCGGGGAACAAAGGCGUCCACGGGUGGGCGGAUGAGUGUACCCGAAGAAAAAGCAUCGGCUAACUCCGUGCCAGCAGCCGCGGUAAUACGGAGGAUGCGAGCGUCAUCCGGAUUUAUUGGGUUUAAAGGGUGCGUAGGCGGACAGUCAAGUCAGCGGUAAAAAUGCGGUGCUCAACGCCGUACAGCCGUUGAAACUGGUUUUCUAGAGUUGGAGAGAAGUAUGCGGAAUUCGUGGUGUAGCGGUGAAAUGCAUAGAUAUCACGAAGAACUCCGAUUGCGAAGGCAGCAUACCGGCUCCAUACUGACGCUGAGGCACGAAAGCGUGGGGAUCGAACAGGAUUAGAUACCCCCGUAGA
RNAcentral lists this ribosomal RNA (465 nucleotides) under uncultured bacterium. Its description in RNAcentral is "bacterial SSU rRNA". It matches the Rfam family "Bacterial small subunit ribosomal RNA", at positions 331 to 794 of the family's 1533-position model. The record is from RNAcentral.